Molecule: ribosomal RNA, 378 nt
Filed under: uncultured bacterium
Lineage: Bacteria
Description: bacterial SSU rRNA
Rfam family: Bacterial small subunit ribosomal RNA
Source: RNAcentral
GACGAACGCUGGCGGCGUGCUUAACACAUGCAAGUCGAGCGGUAAGGCCCUUUCGGGGGUACACGAGCGGCGAACGGGUGAGUAACACGUGGGUGACCUGCCCUCAGCUCUGGGAUAAGCCCGGGAAACUGGGUCUAAUACCGGAUAUGACUUCAUGACGCAUGUUGUGGAGUGGAAAGCCUUGUGCGGCUGAGGAUGGGCCCGCGGCCUAUCAGCUUGUUGGUGGGGUGANGGCCUACCAAGGCGACGACGGGUAGCCGGCCUGAGAGGGCGACCGGCCACACUGGGACUGAGAUACCGGCCCAGACUCCGUACGGGAGGCAGCAGGUGGGGAAUCUUGCGCAAGUGGGACGAAAGCCUGACGCAGCGACGCCGCGU